GUAACCUAAAAUCAUUGGAAUAAUUAUUCUUGCAUCAACAUUAAUGUACGUGCCAAAUAAUACGUGCAGUACACCUUCAUACGCUAUUGAUUAUUUCCUGUAAAUGAAGAAUUUUAAUAUAAUGUACAAAAUAUAUAAAAUUUAGCAUUAAAAUUGUCGCACAUAUAUUUAAAAAUUAAUUGGAUUAAAGAAUUUUUCAAAAUUUCUGAGAAUGUAAGGCCAACGUAAGAUUUUACACGGAACUAGUUUCCAUUUUCGCGCGUAAGACUACGUCAUAAAGACAGAGGAGGGGGUAUAGACAGCGUACUUCAGACGCGCAGCGUAGACUUCCCUUAGUCAUCUUACGACUGUGCUGUGAGGAGGGUGUUUUGCUCGGUGGUUUCAAAUCCUUUGUGUGCAGUUGUGUGAAUCUCUUCUGUAUUGUUCUACAACAAACAGGAGCCGGAUACAGUCUCACCGUUCGAGAUGGCAUUGGGACAAGCGGAGGGAGUUGGUGUUCGCAACGAUGCUGAAGCGUACUGCACGCUCGGGGACCCCAUGUUCUCCAGUCUCUGCGCCUUUCGUUGGCUUAGUUUAUAUAUUAUAUUGUAUGCAUUGGUUUGGUAAUAUACGUAAUAAUGAGCGUUCGAAGUAUGUUCGAAGAGUGUUUGAUCCGAUAUUUUUUAACUUCAGAAAUAUAUACUUUGCAUGUCUUAUAUUUUAAAGAAAAUUUGUAUAGUACAUUUUAGCUUGUAGAUUUAGUAGUAUCGUUUCUAAUAUUCGCUCCAUUAUUCUGUACGUCAAGAUUUUGUAUAUUUGCUUAAUGUUGAUUAACAGUUUUGUAGACUUUAAGAAAUGAAAUGAAAUUAAUAAAAUUUGGAAAAUGUUUACAAUUUUUCUGCAAUCUUCUAGUUCAUAUUAAUGGCAAAAGUGCUUUUCUGCCCCGCAUACUACACAUAACAAAAUUCUGUCGCAGGCAAGAGACCCGUACAUGUACCCAGGCUGUUGGCCGUCAUCGGCAACAUUAUUUGGCCUGUCUGUGUAUGAGAUAAGGAGCGACGAGAGAGGAUUGGUACGGCAUAAGGAAGGGGGGAAAUGUGUUUCUUUUUAGAAAAUCGUGCAUGAAGUUUUCUGGCUGACGAAUGGGUUGCACCAUGAUCAAGUUGUACAUAAACGUCUCAUCUCUCCACACUUCCGUAUCUUGAACAUCCAAGCAUCAACUAAUUCGAAAAUCGUCUGACGCGCGAUACUCAUAGGCUUAUUGUGACGAACUACAGCUAAUUGUAGCAAAUCUUAUUUGGUGGGCUCUAAUACCUUUCGUACGUUAUCUGGGCAAAUGUGUUUUCUCAUGUCCGGGAAAGUUUUUUCAUAGCUUGUACCACCAGGUUGUAUGGGAGUUGUCGAAGCACACAAGACAAGCCUCCGGUGAAUAUCAAUAAGGAGAGACAGCGCUAGGGGUAAUGGCCCCCCCUAACGCCAAUUCAAUAGUCAGGAAAUAUUAGGACUGGCUAGAACUAGAGAACGCGUGAAGGGGGUGCAACUGAAGUUAAUUCAUAAGAGAAUCCUGGAGCACCUCUGUCAUACGCGUCGGGUGGUCAUCGUGGAGUUUUAGUCGGUAAGAGUCCGACACUACUCUGCUGUUACGCAAUUACUGCAAAAGCGGAGUGUCCAUGAGGAUUUCUCCACGUAAAAAAAAAAAAAAAAAAAAAAAAAAAGGUUGUAUGUUAGUUACUCUGGCUUAUCAAUAUGCCCUGUUCAAUGUUGGCCAAGCUGAAUAAUGUCACAGGCCUCUAUCUUCCUUAAUAAGAGCUGUAGGGGAUCGAAUAAUGAGACUACCAAUAUGUGUACUCGUUAGUGUAUUUAAAACAGAUCUUGUCGCGAAACGAUAUCUAUACAGACGUUUAGUCACAGUUUAUACUGAAUCGUUUGCGAUCACGUUCGUUUAGUCAUAAUCGUCAGAAGAAGGUCAAAAGAUACAAAUUCGUCUUGUUUUACGGUUACACGUAGCGGCGCCAUUGUUUUCCCCGGAGUUUAUAAUUCCUUACAAUUCCUCUCGAUAUUCCGAAGCAAAACAACAACAUGGUUUGAAGCAAAUUCUAACUCUUAUGCCGCUACAGAGCUUUUUGAGGUAUGGAUAAAUUGAAUGCAUCUUUGUUGAGUCUAGAUGGUCCAGAAUGGCGAACUACCGCAAGUAGAGCAACUAAUCGAAAUAAUAGACACGCACAUAUACGUAAUAUGUUUAACAUGGAUAGGAAAUUGCUUUGAAAUUUAACAAUCAUUGCAAUAAUUACGUAGGUUCGGAAGUCGUAUUACUAGAUACUUAUUGUAAUAUCGUAAAGUAAUUCGAAUUAGAAAUCAGUUGAAAAUAGAGAAACCGUGUACGUCGUGUUUCUGUACUUCGUUUACAUGCAAGAGUGCCUACGUGAAUAAAGGCACGUAGUUGGUAGUUCUUACAUAGGUAUGAGGGAAACAAUAGACAACGUUAGAAGAAGGACGGUUUCGCUACGCAAGGCGAGUCGAAAAGUGUGCGUGUUGCGAGAAUCAGAGCUAAUUGAGUCGUCGAAGAGUAGAGUCGUUAGAGGUAUCGAGUCGUCGAAGAGUAGAGUCGUGAGAAUUGAUAGAGUUGUUAGAGAGAGAGAGAGUGUGUGUGUGUGUUAGAUUCGUUGUGACGAGAGUGGUCAAAUAACUGUAAAGUUAUUUGAUAUAGAUACGAGUAUUGCAUUUAGUUUCCGUUAAAUAAAUAUCGUUUCCUGUCCAAUUUAUAUUUGUAUAUUCAAUUUAAUAUUAAUAAAUUGUAAGUAAUCGGGAAAAGAUUUCUAUCCUUAUUUUCCGAUUUUACAUUAUUUUCACAGAUUUCAAUUCACUUAUUCAUUGAUUGAUAUUAGGACAAAUGAGGAACUUCGCAUCUAGUUAGAUUAACAAAUAAAAUGUAUUGUUCCUGAUAAAUGUUAUGCGGAAUAGUAUAGGAAAUAAAAGACUGGUUUAUAUUACCGUUCAAGUGACUGAUAGUAGGAAAGCAGUGAUGGAACAUGAGGCAACGUAAUAUAAAAUUGAAUCCCUGAGUAUAGCAUGCAGAUAAUAUUUUGAGUGUUGACGGAGGACAAAAUUAUGCACAUUCCUUUUUCGAUUCCGAGGAAAUACAUCAGCGAUGAGUCAGUUGUCAAAACACGAUGGAAAUUGCUCAUUGUCAAUUGAACAAGUUUGAUAUAAUUACACAAGCUUAAGAUUUAACUUGAAAUUUUUUUGAAGAAAUUUAUUUUUAUUAUACCUGAUGUCAAGCGCGGUAUUAAGUAUCAUGCUUUUAUAACUAUUGUUUUAAAUAUUUUUGUGUUGAAAUAAUGUCGUUUGGGUGUCUGUUUUGUACUGGAGGAGUACCCGAAAUAAUUAUACUCGUCGCGUACAGCUAAACAGCUACAGGCAGUUGUUUGUAUUCCUGGAACGCGUUGGAUUCGUGUUUGCAUGGUACGUUGAUUGGAAUGACUUAGAGGUGGGUUACUGGGGGUGCGAGUAAUUAUGUUUCAGCCAGGAUUGGAUAGAGAACGCGUUUAAUCGACGUUUAAAGAUCCGCUUAAAAUACACAUGCUCUGGUAGUUUCUAAUUGGAUCGUUAUAUAUGUCGUAUACUUUCUGCUAAAUCCGUUUUUGGGAGACAUUAAGUUGAAAAAGGUCAUAUUUUUAAAGAGGGGGAGA
This is a long non-coding RNA of Bombus huntii, 3668 nucleotides long. RefSeq lists it as uncharacterized. The transcript is spliced from 4 exons. The record is from RefSeq and is a predicted model, not a curated record. Lineage: Eukaryota; Metazoa; Arthropoda; Insecta; Hymenoptera; Apidae.